Molecule: transfer RNA, 77 nt
Filed under: Ovis aries (sheep)
Lineage: Eukaryota; Metazoa; Chordata; Mammalia; Artiodactyla; Bovidae
Rfam family: tRNA
About the family: Transfer RNA (tRNA) molecules are approximately 80 nucleotides in length. Their secondary structure includes four short double-helical elements and three loops (D, anti-codon, and T loops). Further hydrogen bonds mediate the characteristic L-shaped molecular structure. tRNAs have two regions of fundamental functional importance: the anti-codon, which is responsible for specific mRNA codon recognition, and the 3' end, to which the tRNAs corresponding amino acid is attached (by aminoacyl-tRNA synthetases). tRNAs cope with the degeneracy of the genetic code in two manners: having more than one tRNA (with a specific anti-codon) for a particular amino acid; and 'wobble' base-pairing, i.e. permitting non-standard base-pairing at the 3rd anti-codon position.
Source: Rfam by way of RNAcentral
UCCCUGAUAGCUCAGUUGGUAAAGAAUCUGCCUGCAAUGCAGGACAGGAGAGCCCGGUUCGAUUCCUGGGUAGGGAA